This 498-nucleotide long non-coding RNA is filed under the name Lactuca sativa (garden lettuce). RNAcentral describes it as "long non-coding RNA (LSAT_LNC004950)". The record is from RNAcentral. Lineage: Eukaryota; Viridiplantae; Streptophyta; Magnoliopsida; Asterales; Asteraceae.
GAAAGAGACCGAAGGGGUAGGCCAACACCCUGAUAUGCUAGGUAGUUACCGAUUAAAAGAGACCGAAUGGGUAUGUGGCAACCGUCAAAAUUCGAGUCAGUUCUAGCUUUUACUAAACUUAGUUUCACAUAUAGGCACAACACAUACUAGACUUAGUAACUAGAAGCUAAGUUAUAACCUACUAGAAACUUGGAAACAAUUAGAAACAAUGGAUAGUGUACUUAGAUUUCACAUUGAUAUGUGAAUUCUACAUCUACUUAACUGGAGUGACUAUCCACAUUUGGGUCAUUCCUUGACUCGAACACCUUUUCAUGAAUCAUAUACACACAUCAUGCACUUGACAUAGUAGUAAAAAUUAGGUCAAAGUCUCAUAAAAACUUAAGUCAAAGUUGAAGACUAGGGCUAGUAUGCUUGAUUCCUCAAUUUCGUUGGAUCUCGAAGUGACUAUCCACAUUUGGGUCAUUCCUUGACUCGAACACCUUUUCAUGAAUCAUAUAC